UACGUAGGGGGCAAGCGUUGUCCGGAUUUACUGGGCGUAAAGAGCGCGUAGGCGGCCAUACAGGUCCGUUGUGAAAACUGGAGGCUUAACCUCCAGACGUCGAUGGAAACCGUAUGGCUAGAGUCCGGAAGAGGAGAGUGGAAUUCCUGGUGUAGCGGUGAAAUGCGCAGAUAUCAGGAAGAACACCCGUGGCGAAGGCGGCUCUCUGGGACGGUACUGACGCUGAGACGCGAAAGCGUGGGGAGCGAACAGG
This 253-nucleotide ribosomal RNA is filed under the name uncultured bacterium. Its description in RNAcentral is "partial 16S ribosomal RNA". It matches the Rfam family "Bacterial small subunit ribosomal RNA", at positions 524 to 776 of the family's 1533-position model. The record is from RNAcentral.